UUGCUGAAUUUGUUAGCUCUAGCAGUUUGUUGUGGAUUCUUUGGUAUUUUUUAUAUAGAGAGAAUCAUCUGCAAAUACAGAUAGGUUUAUUCUUCUUUUCCAAUUUGGAUGCCUUUUCUUUCUCUUGACUAAUUGCUCUGUUCAGAACUUCCAGUACAGUAUUGAGUGGCAGUGUGAAGUGAGCAUCCUUGCCUCGUUCCUGAUCUUAGGGGGGAAGUCUUUCACCAUUGAGCAUGAUAUUAGUUGUGGCUUUUCCCAAAAAUGCCCUUUAUCAUAUUAAGGAAAUUCCCUUCUAUCCUUAAUGUGCUGAUUGUUUUGAUCAUGAAAGAGUGAGCCCAUUUUUUUUAAAGUGAAAGUUUGGCUCAAAGUAAUAAAGUGCUGACCUGAAAGAA
This 392-nucleotide small RNA is filed under the name Pongo abelii (Sumatran orangutan). RNAcentral describes it as "sense intronic". Lineage: Eukaryota; Metazoa; Chordata; Mammalia; Primates; Hominidae. The record is from RNAcentral.